GGGGGAGAAGCCAAUGUUAUGGCGUUCGGCUGUUAACCGAGAGUAAGCAGCUAAUAAACUGCCUUCCCUA
Molecule: transfer RNA, 70 nt
Filed under: Lingula anatina
Lineage: Eukaryota; Metazoa; Brachiopoda; Lingulata; Lingulida; Lingulidae
Description: tRNA-Asn
Source: Rfam by way of RNAcentral